Molecule: long non-coding RNA, 242 nt
Filed under: Elaeis guineensis (African oil palm)
Lineage: Eukaryota; Viridiplantae; Streptophyta; Magnoliopsida; Arecales; Arecaceae
Description: long non-coding RNA (EGUI_LNC054978)
Source: RNAcentral
GAAACUCCUUUCGAUGGAUCAGAACUCUUCUGAUUCAGACAAUUAGAAUGAUCGAUCAUCAAAAUCAUUCUAAUUGCUCCCAAAAUCCACCAGUGACACCUAGCAGUAUAUGGUGACAAUCCAUCAGAACUAAAGAUGAACCUCUCGGUGCAGUUACCUGUGUGAUUGAGUUCCUCUAUCAUGAGUCCCGACUGAAUUAGGGUUAAGGUGAACUCGUCAAACCCAACAUCAGUCAUAUGAAU